This 374-nucleotide ribosomal RNA is filed under the name uncultured eukaryote. RNAcentral describes it as "partial 18S ribosomal RNA". It matches the Rfam family "Eukaryotic small subunit ribosomal RNA", at positions 592 to 976 of the family's 1831-position model. The record is from RNAcentral.
CAAGAGCGUAUGUAAAAGUUGUUGCAGCUAAAAAGCUCGUAGUUGAACCUUGGGUUUGGUUGGCCGGUCCGCUUUUUUGCGAGUACUGGAUUCAACCGAGCCUUUCCUUCUGGCUAACCAGUCGUUUCGGCGGCUGGCGAACCAGGAUUUUUACUUUGAGAAAAUUAGAGUGUUCAAAGCAGGCAUUAGCUUGAAUAUAUUAGCAUGGAAUAAUAGAAUAGGACGUUAUGGUUCUAUUUUGUUGGUUUCUAGGACCAUCGUAAUGAUUAAUAGGGACGGUCGGGGGCAUCAGUAUUCAGUUGUCAGAGGUGAAAUUCUUGGAUUUACUGAAGACUAACUACUGCGAAAGCAUUUGCCAAGGACGUUUUCAUUAA